UGACUGAAUGAACCAGUUAUGAACUCCUCAUUCAUCACUGAAGUCAAGAGAACACCUAUCCUGCUUGGGAAUGAAGAGACAGGUCAGAGCCGUAAAACUGAGUUUCGGGAGAGAGCUGAGCUGCAAAAAGAGGGCAGAGUGGCGUUUUUCUCCUCUUCUAUCCUUGUGUGUUUACAGAAGCACCAUUACAGAGCUCAUAUGAAAAAAUAGCCUGGUGUGUUGUAGAGCCCAUUACCUGAUCAUGAAUGCAUUAAAGUCACCUAACAGAAA
Molecule: long non-coding RNA, 270 nt
Organism: Ornithorhynchus anatinus (platypus)
Lineage: Eukaryota; Metazoa; Chordata; Mammalia; Monotremata; Ornithorhynchidae
Exons: 2
Source: RefSeq, a predicted model, not a curated record